This 29-nucleotide small RNA is filed under the name Bombyx mori (domestic silkworm). RNAcentral's name for it is "ovarian small RNA-12208". Lineage: Eukaryota; Metazoa; Arthropoda; Insecta; Lepidoptera; Bombycidae. The record is from RNAcentral.
AGGCUGUCAAACAAAUUUAUAAAGCCGAC